GACGAACGCUGGCGGCGUGCCUAACACAUGCAAGUCAACUUGACUGAAGGAGCAAUCUGACAGUAGAGUGGCGCAAGGGUGCGUAACGCGUAAGUAACUUGCCCCAAGGUAAGGAAUAACGUCGAGAAAUCGGCGCUAAUACCUCAUAAUGCAGCGGAUCCGCAUGGAUAUGUUGUUAAAGGUUUACCGCCUUGGGAUAGGCUUGCGUCUGAUUAGCUAGUUGGUGUGGUAACGGCACACCAAGGCUACGAUCAGUAACUGGUCUGAGAGGAUGAUCAGUCACACUGGAACUGAGACACGGUCCAGACUCCUACGGGAGGCAGCAGUGAGGAAUAUUGGGCAAUGCUCGAAAGAGUGACCCAGCAACGCCGCGUGGAGGAUGAAGGUAUUCUAUAUCGUAAACUCCUGUGAGAGCAGACGAAAGAACAGAUUAUUAAUACUGGUAUGACUGUAUGCUCAGAAGGAAGCCCGGCUAACUACG
RNAcentral lists this ribosomal RNA (481 nucleotides) under uncultured bacterium. Its description in RNAcentral is "bacterial SSU rRNA". It matches the Rfam family "Bacterial small subunit ribosomal RNA", at positions 28 to 505 of the family's 1533-position model. The record is from RNAcentral.